Molecule: long non-coding RNA, 624 nt
Organism: Teleopsis dalmanni
Lineage: Eukaryota; Metazoa; Arthropoda; Insecta; Diptera; Diopsidae
Exons: 3
Source: RefSeq, a predicted model, not a curated record
CAACUAAAAAACAAAUAAAGUAAAUGGGAGAAAUUACUUAAAUUUAAAAGUAAAGUAAAUUAUUUAACAAGGCACUCCAAUAUACAGAGGAAGAGCGUCAGAUACGUAAACAAAUAUUAGCACAUUACUCAAAGGUAAUGCUGCUUGUAAAUCCUACCAAAGCUGUUACUGUACCAUAUACAAUUUGGAAUAUCAUGACAUCACGCGGCUUAUUGCUUAUUGCUUACAGCUGAUUAGGUCUAUUAAAUUAUGCGAUAUGGAGUCAAUGUCGUCACUAAAAUACUAGACCUGUCGGAUUCUGUAUCUGAUGUUUUUUUUUCGCAUUUCAUACGAAUUACUAGUGCGAUGGAUGUUAAAAAACUCAUUGAUGAAAUCGAAAUUUAUUUGACAAAAUGUAUGCGAUAAAAAGAAGGAAAUUAUUUUUAAUCCAUUUAAAUGUGGGCUUAAAAUUUCGAAUUUAGAUAAAAAAAGACUUAAAUAGAAAGUAAUAUUAACGGGAAGUUUAACCAAAUAUGCAAAUAUAUGUUACAACCUCUCUAAUGACAAAUGAAGAGUGAUUGUGAAAAUAAAAAAGAACAAUUUAAUUUACAAAGGAAAAAUAUAUAACUGAACGACAUUACUGAC